UCUUUAAGUCCUAAAGAUAGAACAACUUGACUAGAAAUAUGUCUUUAGAAUGUUUUUUCUCUCUUGAAACUUAGAUCUUUUCCAACUGUAUUCAAGUCUGGAGUUCUUCGGGUAAAAAUUAAUCUUCCUGUGGACUCCAGAGGGCCCAUGGGAUUUUCCUUUUGGAUUAGUUGGAUGGUAGCAAGAGGUGUCCUUUGAUCUUUAAGAACAGCUGCAAAAAGGAAAAAAGAAAGAAGAAAAAGUCAAGAUUGGCCACACUUAGGACUUUGGUGGAAUUACA
Molecule: long non-coding RNA, 280 nt
Filed under: Sus scrofa (pig)
Lineage: Eukaryota; Metazoa; Chordata; Mammalia; Artiodactyla; Suidae
Description: lncRNA (ENSSSCG00070009188.1)
Source: RNAcentral